Non-coding RNA from Caenorhabditis elegans, 21 nucleotides. NCBI's taxonomy places the organism in Eukaryota, Metazoa, Nematoda, Chromadorea, Rhabditida, Rhabditidae. The record is from Ensembl.
UGCCAUUAAUUCAUCCGAUAU